RNAcentral lists this ribosomal RNA (497 nucleotides) under uncultured bacterium. Its description in RNAcentral is "partial 16S ribosomal RNA". It matches the Rfam family "Bacterial small subunit ribosomal RNA", at positions 28 to 507 of the family's 1533-position model. The record is from RNAcentral.
GAUGAACGCUGGCGGCGCGCCUAAUACAUGCAAGUCGAGCGAACGGACGAGAAGCUUGCUUCUCUGAUGUUAGCGGCGGACGGGUGAGUAACACGUGGAUAACCUACCUAUAAGACUGGGAUAACUUCGGGAAACCGGAGCUAAUACCGGAUAAUAUUUUGAACCGCAUGGUUCAAAAGUGAAAGACGGUCUUGCUGUCACUUAUAGAUGGAUCCGCGCUGCAUUAGCUAGUCGGUAAGGUAACGGCUUACCAAGGCAACGAUGCAUAGCCGACCUGAGAGGGUGAUCGGCCACACUGGAACUGAGACACGGUCCAGACUCCUACGGGAGGCAGCAGUAGGGAAUCUUCCGCAAUGGGCGAAAGCCUGACGGAGCAACGCCGCGUGAGUGAUGAAGGUCUUCGGAUCGUAAAACUCUGUUAUUAGGGAAGAACAUAUGUGUAAGUAACUGUGCACAUCUUGACGGUACCUAAUCAGAAAGCCACGGCUAACUACGUG